GAUGAACGCUGGCGGCGUGCCUAAUACAUGCAAGUCGAGCGAACGGACGAGAAGCUUGCUUCUCUGAUGUUAGCAGCGGACGGGUGAGUAACACGUGGAUAACCUACCUAUAAGACUGGGAUAACUUCGGGAAACCGGAGCUAAUACCGGAUAAUAUUUUGAACCGCAUGGUUCAAAAGUGAAAGACGGUCUUGCUGUCACUUAUAGAUGGAUCCGCGCUGCAUUAGCUAGUUGGUAAGGUAACGGCUUACCAAGGCAACGAUGCAUAGCCGACCUGAGAGGGUGAUCGGCCACACUGGAACUGAGACACGGUCCAGACUCCUACGGGAGGCAGCAGUAGGGAAUCUUCCGCAAUGGGCGAAAGCCUGACGGAGCAACGCCGCGUGAGUGAUGAAGGUCUUCGGAUCGUAAAACUCUGUUAUUAGGGAAGAACAUAUGUGUAAGUAACUGUGCACAUCUGGACGGUACCUAAUCAGAAAGCCACGGCUAACUACGU
RNAcentral lists this ribosomal RNA (496 nucleotides) under uncultured bacterium. Its description in RNAcentral is "partial 16S ribosomal RNA". It matches the Rfam family "Bacterial small subunit ribosomal RNA", at positions 28 to 506 of the family's 1533-position model. The record is from RNAcentral.